GACUGAGAGUGAUAAUUCAUGUGAAGACUUAACGUAUUAACUUCGCGGCACAAGUUGUAUAUCUCAUGGAAUUUGUAUAGCCAAAAAACCCUAAAAUAACAAUGGCCUGAUGACAGUGUCGGACACAAAUGCUUGAAUAAUUGUGUGCAGCACUCUCAUAACCGGGGAAGCAUGUGCACUGUUAUCAAGAGAUCAGUAAGAUAAUUUUCACCGGCAGUAACACCGUGCCGUCUGUGAUGACGAGUGAUGUUGAGGUGAUGCUCAGUCACGCGUGCCGCGCCAAGCAGGCACGGGUGAUCUCAGCGCUGCAUUUAGUUGACUCGAAGCAUUCUAACCUGAAUCCUAGCGGCGCGGCAGCAUUUGCGAUUCCAAUGAGGUCUCUCGCCCGCAGCCAGACAUUGCGUACAACAGCUCGUGUUUGAUGGUUUGUAGCUCUAUGGUUUGACCAAAUGUGUAAACAGCCCUGAAUGUUGAGCGGAUCAUGUCGUGGAUCAUAUCGUCUGGAACGAUGGCGGUAUGCUACAGUGGUAUCCCGAGAGUCUGUGCUUGAUUCUUAGCAAGUAUCAUCUGAGAGAGUGCUUGGAGGAAUCCGAUGGAUCUUUGGCGUGUGCAUCUCGCAGGCUUGCCUGAGUAGCUGACCAUCAGGUAGAUUCAAGGCAGAAACCUGGCACAACAAAGAGAGGAAGACGAGGUCAAGUUUACGACUGGUACGCCACUGAAUACCUUGCCAGAGCCAGCCAUGCCAAAUGUUGACGAACUUCUCAUACGAAAAGAGCGGGAAACGCAGACUGUUCCGAGCGUCACAUUACUUAGUCCAGAGGACCGUGAAACGGCCAUCGUGGCGGGCACUAUCGGUGCGGCUCUGCUGCUGGUGUUCACCGUGGUCGUCGUGAUCGUCUGGUGCUCGUACCGCAACUACCCCUCGUCAUUGGAAAGAGUGAAAAGAAAGAGGCAGGGGUCAGGGUACCAGCAUCACAACAGGGUGCGGGCAAAUCAUGAAGUCUCACGACAAUGACAUCUUAGUUGUCAUAGUAACCACAGGCUGAAAAUCCAUCAUAUUGUGGACGCCUUCGGUUAACAGUGGGCAUCCACGAAAGGUUUACUCUUAUAUUUGAAAUACAAAUUACUUCUUGAAGACAACCGUGGACGGGACGGCCUUAGCCAGUAUUCAUUCAAACUGAAUUAUAACAUAUUGAGAGUUGCUUAAUUCUAGGCAUCAUUCCCAAUUUUUGAAUGGUGCUCCCCAAGCAGGCGUUGACCGCUCCCUGACACACUGACUGCGGUUAUUUGGCCCAACAUCCAUUACCCAUUCAACCAGAAGGACGACAAAUACGACUUUGAGAUCAAAGCUUCCGAUCAAUGACAGUCCAUUGUCCCAGAGGACAGUAGACAGUUCGAGGAAAUGUGUCAAGAUUGUAAAAGUUUGAAGGUGCCUGUUUGGAAGUCAACUCAUGAAAUAGUUUCUGUCCCUGGGGGUUUGCGACGACAAAACAAAACCUGCAAUGAAAUGAAUUAGGAGUGGCAUGGUAUCCAAGAGGUCAGCACACAGUGAACCAGUUCAUGACCCUUGUGCCCACCUAUGGUAUCCUGGAGAAAGGCUCGUGAUUCUUUUAUGAAUAUAAGGUGCCCUGGACGUCAGUCAGUGGUGUCCUUGAGGUAGACUCAUGGUCCUUGUAGCCACCAGUUGGCAUCCUUAUGGUUAGCUCUUAGUCCUUGCACUUGCAGCUGUCCACUGUGUCUUAAAGGUUAGUUCAAUGUCCUUACUGACACUCUUGGGACCCUGGUGUCCGGAAGGUCAGUCCAUGAUUCUUGCAAAUAGCAAGCACCCACUAUGUCCUUGAGGUCAGCUCAUGGGCCUUCUGUAGGCUUCCAGAGUGUCUUGAAGGUAGGUGCAUGGUCCUUGUAGGCACCCAUAGUAUCCUUGUAGGCACCCACAGAUCUUGGAAGUCAACCAUACAACAAAGAGGCCACCUUAUAGGCCAGAAAAAAUGUCAAACCAUUGUGUUGGAAACAGCACCAUGGUUGUAGUAGUCACCUGGAGUCUUAAAACAGUAAUACCUCUUGGUCCUACAUGUCACGAAUAUUGUAACUCUGACAUCAUCUGCAUUUUUUCCUGGACACAAAGUAGCACAAUGAAAAACACAUCUUUCCGUUGUGAAAGAAAUUUGGUUUUUAUCACAUGUAUACCUUUAUUGGGUUAAAAUUAGAACAAUGUAUUGCACACUGAAAAUCCCAGUACUUAAAACAGUGUGAUUUGUCACUGAGUUAAAGAAAUUUUGCUAUGAGGGUUUUUUAAUUGAUAGUUUGAAGUAUGCAGCUUCCAAUUCUUACGGCCAUAAAAAAAAAAUAAAAAAACAAAUUAUAAUGCCCAAGGCCUGGCAGAGGCUUGUUAUUAAAGGGAGGGGCUUAAUGAGUGAAGGGGUUUAGUAGAGGGUGGGGCUUGGUAAGGGGAGGGAGGCUUAGAAAGGGGCAGGUGAAACUGGGGUCAGUGCUUAUAAAUGAUGCGUUGCACUUCAGACUUUCUAGCUUACAUACUUUUUCAGUUGCACCACUAUAUAAUGUACGGUGUAUAUAUUGUGGUAGCUUUCCUGCAUGGAAUCCAUCUCAAAUGGUGUCUUAGUUAUGUCAACAACCCCAUCUGUUAGUUUGUAUAUCCACUGACAAAUGGCUGAGCCAAAGGGGUCUGUGUAGUGUACUCAGAAAUGAGCACCGAUCACUGGCAGUUUGAAACGAGCCCACGGACAAAAAGAGAAGCUAUCUUUGAUGUUUCGUAAGGCCAACUUCAUGCUGCUGUCAUCAAUCAAGAUUUUCGAUGAAAUGCCAAUAGCAAAGACUGUUCUUAAGAUGAUAUUUGCUUCCUGUGUGGACUGACAUUCAGGAGGAUAAUGCCAAUAAAAUUUGACAAGCUACUCUU
This 2914-nucleotide long non-coding RNA is filed under the name Acanthaster planci (crown-of-thorns starfish). Its description in RNAcentral is "uncharacterized LOC110980852". The record is from RNAcentral. Lineage: Eukaryota; Metazoa; Echinodermata; Asteroidea; Valvatida; Acanthasteridae.